This 1385-nucleotide long non-coding RNA is filed under the name Paramuricea clavata. The record is from RNAcentral. Lineage: Eukaryota; Metazoa; Cnidaria; Anthozoa; Malacalcyonacea; Plexauridae.
UACCAAUUCCGCUCUUAACUACCCGAAUAAUUACGUCAUUUUAUUUGACUGCGUAUCCCCGUAUCAUUGAAAUACAAUAGUUACCAAUUCUCCUCUUAAACUACUUGAAUAAUUACGUCAUUUUAUUCACUGCGUAUCCCCGUAUCCCCGUAUCAUUGAAAUAUAAUAGUUACCCAUUCUCCUUUUAAACUACUCGAAUAAUUACGUCAUUUUAUUCACUGCGUAUCCCCGUAUCCCCGUAUCAUUGAAAUAUAAUAGUUACCCAUUCUCCUUUUAAACUACUCGAAUAAUUACGUCAUUUUAUUCACUGCGUAUCCCCGUAUCCCCGUAUCAUUGAAAUAUAAUAGUUAACCAUUCUCCUUUUAAACUACACGAGUAAUUACGUCAUUUUAUUCACUGCGUAUCCCCGUAUCCCCGUAUCAUUUAAAUAUAAUAGUUACCAAUUCUGCUCUUAACUACCCGAACAAUUAUGUCAUUUUAUUUGACUGCGUAUCCCCGUAUCAUUGAAAUACAAUAGUUACCAAUUCUCCUCUUAAACUACUCGAAUAAUUACGUCAUUUUAUUUGACUGCGUAUCCCCGUAUCCCCGUAUCAUUGAAAUAUAAUAGUUACCCAUUCUCCUUUUAGACUACUCGAAUAAUUACGUCAUUUUAUUUGACUGCGUAUCCCCGUAUCCCCGUAUCAUUGAAAUAUAAUAGUUACCCAUUCUCCUCUUAUUAAACUUCUCGAAUAAUUACGUCAUUUUAUUUGACUGCGUAUCCCCGUAUCAUUGAAAUAUAAUAGUUACCCAUUCUCCUCUUAUUAAACUUCUCGAAUAAUUACGUCAUUUUAUUUGACUGCGUAUCCCCGUAUCAUUGAAAUAUAAUAGUUACCCAUUCUCCUCUUAUUAAACUUCUCGAAUAAUUACGUCAUUUUAUUUGACUGCGUAUCCCCGUAUCAUUGAAAUAUAAUAGUUACCCAUUCUCCUCUUAUUAAACUUCUCGAAUAAUUACGUCAUUUUAUUUGACUGCGUAUCCCCGUAUCAUUGAAAUAUAAUAGUUACCCAUUCUCCUCUUAUUAAACUUCUCGAAUAAUUACGUCAUUUUAUUUGACUGCGUAUCCCCGUAUCAUUGAAAUAUAAUAGUUACCCAUUCUCCUCUUAUUAAACUUCUCGAAUAAUUACGUCAUUUUAUUUGACUGCGUAUCCCCAUAUCCCCGUAUCAUUGAAAUAUAAUAGUUACCAAUUCUCCUCUUAAUUUACCCAUUCUCCUCUUAUUAAACUUCUCGAAUAAUUACGUCAUUUUAUUUGACUGCGUAUCCCCAUAUCCCCGUAUCAUUGAAAUAUAAUAGUUACCAAUUCUCCUCUUAAUUACUCGAAUAAUUACGUCAUUUUAUUUGACUGCGUAU